UGUGUAUCAAUGUAAAAGAGAGACAGAAACCAGAAGUGUAAAUCACUUUGUGAAGUUUUUAAGACUUGAGUCCAGUAGUUCACAUCACUUUUCAGGGUGUGUUUUUGUCUGUGUGUUUGUGUGUGUGUGUGAGAGCGGGAGAGAUAGAAAGAAAAUGAGGGCUGUGUUUGCGAUGCUAAAUGUGUGUGUGUGUCUUCUUCUGUGUGUUCCUGGUGCCAUCUCGCAGACUACAACAGCACCAAACACGUACACGGAGUGCACAGAUGGCUAUGAAUGGGAUGCUCAGACUCAGCAUUGUAAAGAUAUAAAUGAGUGUGAGCGGAUCCCAGUGGCGUGUCAGGGUGAGAUGAAGUGUUUUAACCACUACGGCGGAUACCUCUGCCUCCCACGCUCCGCCUCUGUCAUCACCGCCCCUGAGGCCGGCAGCCAAUCACAACCCAGCGUGCCCAUCGAGGCCAACGAGGCCUUCAACCCCUGUCCUGUGGGCUACGAGCCUCAAGGGGACAACUGUGUCGAUGUGGAUGAGUGUGCGGUGGGUCUCCAUGACUGUCAGCCCAGCCAGCAGUGUGUUAAUGUGGCGGGCACCUUCAGCUGCCAGUGUCCCGACGGAUACAGCAAGAUUGGAGUGGAAUGUGUGGAUAUAGAUGAGUGUAGGUAUCGCUAUUGUCAGCACCGCUGUGUGAACGUUCCUGGCUCCUUCACCUGCGAGUGUGAACCGGGUUUCCAACUGGCGUCCAACAACCGCUCCUGUGUUGAUGUGAAUGAGUGUGAUAUGGGAGCUCCGUGUCAGCAGCGUUGCUAUAACACCUAUGGAACGUUCCUGUGUCGCUGUGACCAGGGCUACGACCUGGGGCCCGACGGAUACUCAUGUAACGACAUUGAUGAGUGCAGCUACUCCAGUUACCUGUGCCAGUUCCAGUGUGUUAACGAGCCGGGACGCUUCUCCUGCCAGUGCCCAGAGGGGUACGACAUCCUGGGCACACGCCUCUGCCAAGACAUUAAUGAGUGCGACUCUGGGUCACACCAGUGUGUGGAGGGCCAGUUGUGUGUGAACAUCCACGGAGGCUACAGGUGUGUGGACCACAACCGCUGCCUGGAGCCCUAUGUGCAGGUGUCUGAAAGUCGGUGUGUGUGUCCCUCUACGAAGCCGGAAUGUCGCGAUCUCCCGUUCUCCAUCGUGCAGCGCUACAUGAGCAUCACGUCGGAGCGCUCGGUCCCGUCGGACAUCUUCCAGAUCCAGGCCACCAGCGUCUACCCGGGCGCCCUCAACACCUUCCGCAUCCGCUCUGGAGACCAGCACGGAGAGUUCUACAUCAGGCAAAUCAACAACAUCAGCGCCAUGCUGGUUCUGGCGCGGGCCGUCACUGGACCCAGAGAGUUGGUGCUGGACCUGGAGAUGGUGUCCCUCAACCCACUACUGAGCUACCAGACCAGCUCAUCCCUACACCUCUUCAUCUACGUGGGGCCCUACGCUUUCUGAGCACUCACGGAGAGAGGAGGAGGAGGAGGAGGAGGAGAGAGAAGAGAGGAGAAGAAGAGAAGCCAGAGGAUAGAGGAGGAGGAGGAGAGAGAGGAGGAUUGGUGGAAAGAGGAGGAGGAGGAGAAAAACCAGAGGAGGAGGAGGAGAGAGAAGAAAAGAGGAGGAUAGAGGAGGAAGAGGAGGAGGUAGAGAAGUCUCUAAACAUUAGUAGCCAAAGUAGGCCUGUUUUGUAAAUGUACAAAAUCUUUUAACAAUAGCUAAGAGUUUAACACAACCUCCUCUUCAAGAUUAGAAUAAUCCAGAAUUGCUAAAGACUAAUACUGUACAUCCCAAUUAGUGUAAUCCAGAGUUGAUGGGGAUUCAUGUGUAAUAAUCCCAAUGUCUUUAGAAAUCAGUUAUUCAACCUCCCCUCUUCAUGAAGAACACAGUCACACACACACACACACACACACACACACAGAAAGAUGCGCGUGCACACACUCACACACAUACACAGACACAUGCAUGCAUACACACAUGCACACACACAUACUGUACACAUACACACGCACACACACACAUGCACAUGCACGUACAUACACACACACACACACACACACACACACACACACACACACAAACACACACAUGCACAUGCACAUGCACAUGCACGCGCAUACACAGACACAUGCAUGCAUACACAUGCACACACUCACACACAAACACACACUGGGAUGUAUAGAAUGCUGUCUGUCUAUGUGUGUGCAUAGCUGCUUGAUUGGAUUAGGAGGACAGAGGAGUCUGGUUUACGAAUAAGACUAUUCAAUGAAACAAGUCAAUAAGGUGCUGUGUGUGCAUGUGUGUGUGUGUGUGUGUGUGUGUAUGUGUGUGUGUGUGCGUAGUCAAUGAAUGAAACAAGUCAAUAAAGUGCUCAAAUGUUCACACAUCCACUCAUCAACACAAGCUAGGACAGUGUGUACCCAGGCUGGUGUGUUGGGCUCUAUUAAAAGCUGCUGCUGUGUGUGUGUGUGUGUGUGUGUGUGUGUGUGUGUGUAGGCAGAAGCUGUGAAAUCAUGAUCAUCACACGUGAUGAGCACUAGUAAUUUUACUCUGUCCUUCUCACCUCUAAGUAACAGGAACACAUUAACACACACACACACACACACACACACACACACACACACACACACAAACACACACACACGCACGCACAUUCUUUCUCUCCAUACACACACACACACACACACACACACACACACAGACACACAAACAUGUACUCUCUCCCACUCACACACACACUCACACAUUCACACAGACUAAAUAACACGCAGUAAUCAGUAGAGUGAGUGAGACUGACACAGAUAGACUCUCCGAGCUUCUCUGCAGAUGGAGAGCUCGUCCUCUUUAUGCAGUGUCACUGUUUCUCUGUUUCAGCACAGUCAUACAUUUCAGCUCUUCUCACUAGAUUAAAGUUAUACCAUGACUCAGUGUUUUUGUCCUGUGGCAUUAUCACUGCCCACUCCAGCCGCGAGCAUCUGCGGUCUGUCUAUUGACCGCUUGUUCCUAGUGUGUGUGUGUGUGUGUGUGUGUGUGUGUGUGUGUGUGUGUGUGUGACCAUCAGACCUUUAGCAGUAGGUCUGCCCAGCCUUGGAACAUCACUAAAGGUCACACACAUCCAGAGAAAGUCCAAUAGAGGCAUACUGACACACACACCAGUGUUUGAAAUGUGUACUGUACUGCCAGACCCAAUAGAGAGGCUGCUCCUAUGCUAUGCUGACUCAUUGACAUUGUAUGAAGCAAUAAAAUGAAAGGUUGAUUGACAUGAAUAAAUGAA
This is an RNA transcript of Sardina pilchardus (European sardine), 3293 nucleotides long. It is a transcript of the gene named EGF-containing fibulin-like extracellular matrix protein 2, with no coding region annotated. The record is from RefSeq and is a predicted model, not a curated record. The transcript is spliced from 11 exons. Lineage: Eukaryota; Metazoa; Chordata; Actinopteri; Clupeiformes; Clupeidae.